This 40-nucleotide ribosomal RNA is filed under the name Coptis teeta. RNAcentral describes it as "partial 28S ribosomal RNA". Lineage: Eukaryota; Viridiplantae; Streptophyta; Magnoliopsida; Ranunculales; Ranunculaceae. The record is from RNAcentral.
AUGCGACCCCAGGUCAGGCGGGAUUACCCGCUGAAUUUAA